This 517-nucleotide long non-coding RNA is filed under the name Citrus x clementina. RNAcentral's name for it is "Citrus clementina (C. clementina) long non-coding RNA (CCLE_LNC004671)". The record is from RNAcentral. Lineage: Eukaryota; Viridiplantae; Streptophyta; Magnoliopsida; Sapindales; Rutaceae.
UAGGGCCCACGGAGUGGGAUUCCCACUCCCUUCCCAUUUAGAUGAAGUAAACGCUGGAGUGGGAGGAAUCCACACUCCUCACUCCCACUCCAGCAAGUAAACACAACAUAAAUAACGGGUCAGAAAUUGAGAGGUUUGUGUCCAAAUAAUGGGAAAAGGACAUUCAACCCCUCAACAUUUAAGAAAAGGGAUAAAAAACCCCUCAACAUUUUAAAAAGGACUUAUAAAUCCCUUUUCGUUAAUAAACUUUAUUAUUUUCUGCAGGAAUGGGCACACCGGAAGAAUUUUAUUAGCAACGGUCUUAAUUGUACGCAACCUCCGCAAGGUUCGAAAGGAAGUGUAAAAUGACAACGCAGAUAUUUAUGCCCUUGCUGAUCUGUGAGCAGAUAUGGAAGAAAUGAAUUGUCCUCAUAUGUAAUUUGCUCGGUGGACGUGGUUUAACAUAUCCACAUAUAAAGAUAUAUGCGCUCGAUCGUUGACAGUUAAUUUACAAAUAUUUUUAAGCAAUUAAUUAAAA